CUACGGGACGCACCAGUGGGGAAUAUUGGACAAUGGGGGAAACCCUGAUCCAGCAAUGCCGCGUGUGUGAAGAAGGCCUGCGGGUUGUAAAGCACUUUCGGUUGGGAGGACUGCUUCUAGCACUAAUAUUGUUGGAAGUUGACGUUACCUUCAGAAGAAGCACCGGCUAACUCCGUGCCAGCAGCCGCGGUAAUACGGAGGGUGCAAGCGUUAAUCGGAAUUACUGGGCGUAAAGCGCGCGUAGGCGGCUAGAUCAGUCGGGUGUGAAAGCCCCGGGCGUAACCUGGGAACUGCAUCCGAUACUGGCUAGCUUGAGUACAGGAGAGGAGAGUGGAAUUCCACAUGUAGCGGUGAAAUGCGUAGAUAUGUGGAGGAACACCAAUGGCGAAGGCAGCUCUCUGGCCUGAUACUGACGCUGAGGUGCGAAAGCGCGGGGAGCAAACAGGAUUAGAUACCCCAGUAGUC
Molecule: ribosomal RNA, 465 nt
Filed under: uncultured bacterium
Lineage: Bacteria
Description: partial 16S ribosomal RNA
Rfam family: Bacterial small subunit ribosomal RNA
Source: RNAcentral